AAGAACUCAUCUUAAAUUUUUAUGUAUAGAAAAAUAAUUACAGGUUGAUAUUAUUAUUAUUUUUAUUUUUUAUUAACAUCAUUUUUUUAUUAUAAAAAUUUGCCACGUUCGAAUUUUGUAUUAAAUUUAAUUUUAAAUUAAUUUUAAUAUAUAUACUAAUUGAAGUACUUUACCAAUCAAGCCGAACGCAAUAACAGAGAAAUCGCAGGCUCUCAGCUGGAAAGAUAUGGGGGAAGAAGAUGAAGAAUUUUCCUCAAGUAAACAUGAGAAAGAUCUAGAGUUGUUAAAGGGGCGAAGAUUUUCUUGCUCACUUCCAUGGUGAAGUAUUUAUGCUUUGAAUUCCGUAUUAAAAGGGAGAACUUUUCUAAAUCAAAGAUUUGGCUUAGAAGGGACAAGGAUAAGCAGAAAUAGGAAUCAAUUGGGGAUUCUUCAAGAAGGCUAUUUUCUUUCGAUUUUCAGUGAAUAAAAAUGUUGUCCCAGAUGGUGAUUCGAAGGUGAAGAAUAGGAAUGGUGGUGCAAGCGGGUGCUAAUUCGGAGAUUGGCAUUGGAGGAUGGGAAAAUGGAUGUAGAUUCGGGUUUUGAUGAGGAGAAUCAGUACUGGAAUGCGAAAACUGCUUCAUUUGCAAGGAAGACCCUGCUUUGGCCUCUUGGAAGAAAAAAUAAGGAACAAGGGCAAGAUAGUUGGCUUUGGAGCAGGGCAGACCAAAAAUUGAAAAUGAAAGCAAUCGGCUUCCGCUUAUUCUUUGCUUAAAAUAAAUUGAAGGCAUGUAACUUUUCUUUUCCUGUUCUUUGGACAACAGAAAUACCAGUUCGUCUUUGCAUUUUGGAUUUUCAAUUAUAUUUUGUGGUAAACUGAUUGAAUGAAGCAGAGUAGUGAUUUUAGUUAAAAAAUUACAGUUUAAUUUUAAGAUUUCCCUGUUUAUUUGAAUGCUAUCAUUGUAGCAAUAUCUGCCAUCAUUUUAGCAAAAUCAGUAUAACCAUUGCCUGUAUGUUAUUUUCAGGUCACUGUAAUAA
Hevea brasiliensis (rubber tree) is the source of this 1014-nucleotide long non-coding RNA. RefSeq lists it as uncharacterized. NCBI's taxonomy places the organism in Eukaryota, Viridiplantae, Streptophyta, Magnoliopsida, Malpighiales, Euphorbiaceae. The transcript is spliced from 2 exons. The record is from RefSeq and is a predicted model, not a curated record.